GGAAAAACAGGCAGCCAAAAAAAAACAGCAACCAAGUAAUGGAUUUGUUUUUUUGGUUUACACCAACUGCAAUAUUACCAACCAGGUUAAUAUCAAGCAGUAAAAAAGCACCAUAUGGAGUAACACCCGUUAAGGAACCCCAAGUUAAUGUCUCAACGUAGUUUUCCCAGACACUCACUCUGUAGGGGGAAAGAAACAGCAACCUACAGCCGGGGAGCAGCAAUGUUAAGCAAUUCACAACAGACAUAGAACAAGCCAGUCGGCAAGUUGUGUAAGGUAAAUUAAGAGUUUGUUGGUCGGCAGGAGCCACCAAUAUAUUAAUGCACCGGAGUCGUAGUGUACACAAGCACGACAAUCCACUGGCAGAAGAUACAGAUCAACCGUGUACAGCAAUGGAGCAAUCAAGAGGGCUGGCCAUGUGGCCAGCUGUUUCAGGAUGCAAACAGCCAGAGAGUACACUUCCACGCAAGAUAUUCACUUAUCAAGCGAUCUUCAGAAAGCUUGUACCUCAAACCAUACGGACGUCUGCCGAGAAAUAUGAAAGAGAACGUUUGCGGCCAUGGGGUCUAUAUAUAGGAGCGGACCCCAGCCGUGACACAUGUGUACACGGAAGUAAACCUCAACUCGGAUGUAUCCUCCGCCGCGGGGUGAUACCAAUAUAGUGAAACAACCUCUUAUCUGGAUGCCUCACUUAGUUCCCGAGAGAGAGCAGCCAUACUGUGUUCAGUUUCAAUAAAAAGCAUGAACACUUACCACGCUGCGCUUUGGUCCACACCUUCAACAGACGACCGUUACAGGCCCUUCAUUCCCAAACCUGAAGCCCCCUGUCCCCAGCAGGAAAGACCAGGAGAAAGUGUUGGCUUAAGAUCUGCCACCCCCCCACCCCCUGUGGUAUUUAAUUUACCGGCUGCACCAGUUCCUACUACACUGGCCGUGGAUGGAGAAACUUGAGGAUUCGCAGAUGGAUACAGAUCUGCCAUGCACUCCACCACUGCCCGACAGGCCCAGUGUAUGCACUUCUGGGUGAGGCUAUCAAGACUGACAAAAGCAGAGAUGGGUGGUUGACAAGGAAAAAUUAAACACAACAUGCACACACACACACACUGUCACACACACAUUAUCCCCAAUGUAAAUAAAUUGUAAUUACUUGUUUAUUUUAUGUAUGCUCCAUUUUAUUUUAGGAUUGGAGAUAUCUACAUAUCCAUUAUCGAUAUCUACAUAAUUACUCUAAAUAUCUAUCCAAUAAAAGUGUGACUGUUAA
This is a long non-coding RNA of Salvelinus sp. IW2-2015, 1261 nucleotides long. RefSeq lists it as uncharacterized. NCBI's taxonomy places the organism in Eukaryota, Metazoa, Chordata, Actinopteri, Salmoniformes, Salmonidae. The record is from RefSeq and is a predicted model, not a curated record.